AAUUCGAUUGAGUUUGAUCAUGGCUCAGGAUGAACGCUGGCGGUAUGCUUAACACAUGCAAGUCGAACGGUGUCUUCGGACACAGUGGCGGACGGGUGAGUAACGCGUGAGAAUCUGCCUUCAGGUCUGGGACAACCACUGGAAACGGUGGCUAAUACCGGAUGUGCCGAGAGGUGAAAGGUUAACUGCCUGAAGAUGAGCUCGCGUCUGAUUAGCUAGUUGGUAGAGUAAGAGCCUACCAAGGCGACGAUCAGUAGCUGGUCUGAGAGGAUGAUCAGCCACACUGGGACUGAGACACGGCCCAGACUCCUACGGGAGGCAGCAGUAGGGAAUUUUCCGCAAUGGGCGAAAGCCUGACGGAGCAAUACCGCGUGAGGGAGGAAGGCUCUUGGGUCGUAAACCUCUUUUCUCAGGGAAGAACACAAUGACGGUACCUGAGGAAUAAGCAUCGGCUAACUCCGUGCCAGCAGCCGCGGUAAUACGGAGGAUGCAAGCGUUAUCCGGAAUGAUUGGGCGUAAAGCGUCCGCAGGUGGCUAUGUAAGUCUGCUGUUAAAGCGUCUAGCUCAACUAGAUAAAAGCAGUGGAAACUACAAGGCUAGAGUGCGUUCGGGGCAGAGGGAAUUCCUGGUGUAGCGGUGAAAUGCGUAGAGAUCAGGAAGAACACCGGUGGCGAA
Molecule: ribosomal RNA, 675 nt
Filed under: uncultured bacterium
Lineage: Bacteria
Description: bacterial SSU rRNA
Rfam family: Bacterial small subunit ribosomal RNA
Source: RNAcentral